Long non-coding RNA from Mugil cephalus (flathead mullet), 2075 nucleotides. RefSeq lists it as uncharacterized. The record is from RefSeq and is a predicted model, not a curated record. Lineage: Eukaryota; Metazoa; Chordata; Actinopteri; Mugiliformes; Mugilidae. The transcript has 2 exons.
UAAAGUAGUAGUAUUUCAGUAGAUUUAAUUGUAAACGGAACCAUAUAUAUUGUCCUUCAUGUUAAAAAUAUUCUCAGCCUCAAGAAUUCUGUGGACUGUGAAUAUUUGUUGCUGCUGAUGAUGAAGUGAUUCUCUGUAAACACUGACUUAUCUACUGUUGUUGUUGUUCUCUCUACAGAUGGCGGUGAACAGGACGGUAUGUGAGCUGAGAGAGGAUGAGCUGAGUCCUGAUGAUCCAGAGGUUGAAUCAGCAGCAGUUUGUGUGUAGAGAGACUCUGACUGGACCAUGUUACUGGGAGGUGGAGUCAAGAGAUUAAAGAUCCUCAACAGAGCUGCACAAACUAUUAACACCAACAAGUAAAGACCAGUCCCUCUCCUGAAUUAUUGGACACAUUAAUCAACCAGCAUCAACAGUCUUUCUAUAUUCUAAUGUGUCUCUUCACUUCUGUAUUUAUUGUACUGUUUAUUUUACUCCUUUUUCAACCAAACAUUUAUUUCAUUUGAAAAGAAGCAGGAAGCAGUUUUCACACUGAGCCUCUGCUUUAUGUAUCAUUGUCAGAGAUGGAGAUAAACUAUUGUUGUUAUUGUGACACACUUUCAUCUACACUUUGCUUUGUUGUGCUUCACUCUUCACUGACUGGUUAAAGAGACGUUAUUUAAAAAAUGUCUCAGAAUUAAAAUUAAGAGCUCAGCGCCUUCAGAAAAACUUAAAGGCUCAUUUAAGACUUAAUUAAUGGCACUUUUAGGUUUUCCAUAAUGAUCGUUGCAAGUUCUUAUUACACUUUUGCACAAUAAUCUGCUUUUUUGCACUAUCUAUCUGACACUAAUUUCAUCAGUGUCCACGUUCUGUGAUCCUAGAAAUUUAUAUUGCAUUUUUUUUUUUCCAGUAUUUUUUAAAUUCCCUGCCCACACUUGAUAUACUGACUGUCAGAGUGCUGCAUAUUCUUGUGUAUUUUGUACCUUCUUUCAAACUUCAUACUGUCUUUUAUUGUUUGUAGAUUGCUUGUAUAUAUUUUCGUACCAAAUUCUGCACUACUGUGACAAGGUCAUUUCCCAUAUGUGCGAUAAAUAAACGUUGUUUUAUGUCUUAUUAUUGAAUGAAGGCUUUACUUCGAACACACAAAGAAAUCAAAAUAGUCAAAACUACAAAAACAAUGUCAACAUAAAAUGUCCGAAAGGGAGUAGGAAGACGCUUAUUUAAUCCUACACCUUCUCCUUUCUCAGUAAUUAAUGAUCAGUUUCUUAGUUUCCAUUUUUUACAGUGUACGUUAGGCGCUAGCUGUAGUUCAAUGAUGUGGCCACUGGAGGGCAGUGAUCGUGAUGGUUUCUCUGGUCGUUAUUAAAGCAAUAUCAUGUAAUUCAUCGUUUCACCGCCAGAUGGAGAAAAACUGUCACCGGUCAUUUUAUAUCGUAGAAGAAGAACCCGGAAGUAGUGAACAGGUGUUGAUCAGUCAAUGGUGUUGAUUAAUUAACCUGAUUAAUGUUGAGUUAGCAACUGACUUUGGUCUCACUGUAUAGGGAACAAAUAAGUAAAACCCGACAUGAAGACACCGAGAGUUAUAUCCAGGUGGAGAACAUGCUGAUGGAUCACCACAACCAGAGCAGCCUCAGGACGACACCACGACAAGAACCUGGACGGGAGGAUCUGAGGGGAAAGAUUCAGGUGGAGAAAUCCCUCCUGAGAAAAUCUAAAUGUCAACCAGAAAUCUUGAUGAACAACAAACAACAUUAAAGAAACUGUACAGUGAAGAAGAACAUUAGAAACCAGGUCCCUGCUCCUCUCCAGUGUAAAAGCUCCUCCUCAUGUUAGUACAUGUUUUCAUAUUAUAUCACUGUAUGUACUCGAAGUAGCUUAGUUUUCAUUCAUCUUUCUGUAUAUUUUAGCUUUGUAGGAAUUAAGGAUCUGCAGCGAAAACGAAUGAACUCAUUUCAUUUUGAAUAGUUUUUUAAUCAUAUUUUCAUAAAUCUGAAAUGUUUUCCUUGUUGAGUGCCUCAAACAUUUGAUGCUGUAACUAAUCAGACGUUGUGUGUAAACUCUUGUUGUUUUGCUCCAAAGAAUCUGUCACACGUGAAAA